Non-coding RNA from Arachis ipaensis, 184 nucleotides. Lineage: Eukaryota; Viridiplantae; Streptophyta; Magnoliopsida; Fabales; Fabaceae. The record is from RefSeq and is a predicted model, not a curated record.
UAGUUCAAGCAUAUUGUGUAGGGCCUCAAAAUGUGAAUCCUCAGGAUACAAAUACCCUUUGGCUCAAAUUUGAGGAAGCUCUGAGCAGUUACGAAGACAGGAAAGGGAAUAAUGAUAGCUGCUCCAUUAUGUAAGUUGCGUGUAAUUGUUAGAUCAAUUAUGCUUCCGGGAAUAAGUUUGAGAU